This 497-nucleotide ribosomal RNA is filed under the name uncultured bacterium. Its description in RNAcentral is "partial 16S ribosomal RNA". It matches the Rfam family "Bacterial small subunit ribosomal RNA", at positions 28 to 507 of the family's 1533-position model. The record is from RNAcentral.
GAUGAACGCUGGCGGCGUGCCUAAUACAUGCAAGUCGAGCGAACAGACGAGGAGCUUGCUCCUCUGACGUUAGCGGCGGACGGGUGAGUAACACGUGGAUAACCUACCUAUAAGACUGGGAUAACUUCGGGAAACCGGAGCUAAUACCGGAUAAUAUAUUGAACCGCAUGGUUCAAUAGUGAAAGACGGUUUUGCUGUCACUUAUAGAUGGAUCCGCGCCGCAUUAGCUAGUUGGUAAGGUAACGGCUUACCAAGGCAACGAUGCGUAGCCGACCUGAGAGGGUGAUCGGCCACACUGGAACUGAGACACGGUCCAGACUCCUACGGGAGGCAGCAGUAGGGAAUCUUCCGCAAUGGGCGAAAGCCUGACGGAGCAACGCCGCGUGAGUGAUGAAGGUCUUCGGAUCGUAAAACUCUGUUAUUAGGGAAGAACAAAUGUGUAAGUAACUAUGCACGUCUGGACGGUACCUAAACAGAAAGCCACGGCUAACUACGUG